RNAcentral lists this ribosomal RNA (868 nucleotides) under uncultured archaeon. RNAcentral describes it as "bacterial SSU rRNA". It matches the Rfam family "Archaeal small subunit ribosomal RNA", at positions 1 to 878 of the family's 1478-position model. The record is from RNAcentral.
CUCCGGUUGAUCCCGCCGGACCCGACUGCUAUCAGAGUGGGACUAAGCCAUGCGAGUCGACGUAGCAAUGCGUGGCGAACGGCUCAGUAACACGUAGUCAACAUGCCCAGGGGACGUGGAUAACCUCGGGAAACUGAGAAUAAACCACGAUAGGUCACGAUUUCUGGAAUGGAUCAUGGCCUAAAUCUACAUGGCCCCUGGAUUGGACUGCGGCCGAUCAGGCUGUUGGUGAGGUAAUGGCCCACCAAACCUGUAACCGGUACGGGCUCUGAGAGGAGGAGCCCGGAGAUGGGCACUGAGACAAGGGCCCAGGCCCUAUGGGGCGCAGCAGGCGCGAAACCUCUGCAAUAGGCGAAAGCCUGACAGGGUUACUCUGAGUGACUUUCGCUAAGAAAGUCUUUUGGCACCUCUAAAAAGGGUGCAGAAUAAGGGGUGGGCAAGUCUGGUGUCAGCCGCCGCGGUAAUACCAGCACCCCGAGUGGUCGGGACGAUUAUUGGGCCUAAAGCAUCCGUAGCCGGUUCUACAAGUCUUCCGUUAAAUCCACCUGCUUAACAGAUGGGCUGCGGAAGAUACUAUAGAGCUAGGAGGCGGGAGAGGCAAGCGGUACUCGAUGGGUAGGGGUAAAAUCCGUUGAUCCAUUGAAGACCACCAGUGGCGAAGGCGGCUUGCCAGAACGCGCUCGACGGUGAGGGAUGAAAGCUGGGGGAGCAAACCGGAUUAGAUACCCGGGUAGUCCCAGCUGUAAACGAUGCAGACUCGGUGAUGAGUUGGCUUAUUGCUAACUCAGUGCCGCAGGGAAGCCGUUAAGUUUGCCGCCUGGGGAGUACGGUCGCAAGACUGAAACUUAAAGGGAUUGGCGGGGGAGCA